AAUGAACGUUGGCGGCGUGGAUUAGGCAUGCAAGUCGAGCGCGAACCCGCAAGGGGGAAAGCGGCGAAAGGGAGAGUAACGCGUGGUUAUCUACCCCUAGACUCGGGAUAGCUGUGGGAAACUACAGGUAAUACCGAAUAAUAUCUCCGGAUCAAAGGUGUGAUUCCGUCUAGGGAUGAGACCGCGUCCUAUUAGCUAGUUGGUAGGGUAAUGGCCUACCAAGGCAAUGAUGGGUACUGGGUGUGAGAGCACGACCCAGCUCACUGGGACUGAGAUACUGCCCAGACACCUACGGGUGGCUGCAGUCGAGAAUCUUCGGCAAUGGGCGCAAGCCUGACCGAGCGACGCCGCGUGCGGGAUUAAGGCCUUCGGGUUGUAAACCGCUGUCAGAGGGGAUGAAAUGCGGUGGGGGUACUCCCCCAUGCUUGACAUAUCCUCAGAGGAAGUACGGGCUAAGUUCGUGCCAGCCGCCGCAGUAAUAC
This 482-nucleotide ribosomal RNA is filed under the name uncultured bacterium. RNAcentral describes it as "bacterial SSU rRNA". It matches the Rfam family "Bacterial small subunit ribosomal RNA", at positions 29 to 526 of the family's 1533-position model. The record is from RNAcentral.